This 300-nucleotide ribosomal RNA is filed under the name uncultured bacterium. RNAcentral describes it as "bacterial SSU rRNA". It matches the Rfam family "Bacterial small subunit ribosomal RNA", at positions 399 to 691 of the family's 1533-position model. The record is from RNAcentral.
GCGUGCGGGAAGAAGGCCUUCGGGUUGUAAACCGCUUUUGUCGGGGAAGAAAUCCUUCGAGCUAAUACCUUGAGGGGAUGACGGUACCCGAAGAAUAAGCACCGGCUAACUACGUGCCAGCAGCCGCGGUAAUACGUAGGGUGCAAGCGUUAAUCGGAAUUACUGGGCGUAAAGCGUGCGCAGGCGGUUGUGCAAGCCAGAUGUGAAAUCCCCGGGCUUAACCUGGGAACUGCAUUUGUGACUGCACGGCUCGAGUGCGGCAGAGGGGGAUGGAAUUCCGCGUGUAGCAGUGAAAUGCGU